RNAcentral lists this unclassified non-coding RNA (21 nucleotides) under Mus musculus (house mouse). RNAcentral's name for it is "oocyte_clustered_small_RNA2730". Lineage: Eukaryota; Metazoa; Chordata; Mammalia; Rodentia; Muridae. The record is from RNAcentral.
AUGAGUCAACUUACCUGCCAG